UUGUUUUCUUUUAUUUAUUUAUUUAGACGGAGUCUCACUCUGUCGCCCAGGCUGGAGUUGCAGUGAGCCGAGAUUGCAUUAUUGUACUCCAGUCUGGGUAAGAAGAGCUAAACUCCAGAGUCUGUCUCAGAAAAAGGAAAACAGCUGAAAUAUAGGAGACUGACGCCCAGCCCAGGAACAGGUAAGCUGGGUGCACGCGCCGUGAAAACAGCACCUAGGCCUGCUCCGGUUCUCGCUUUGCAGAUGCCUCCUGAACCUCAGUGCCUCCUAAGGUCAAGGCUGUGAGUUAAAGGGCUCCACCCCAGCCCAGCCCCAGGUUGGCCCAGCCAUUCCCUGGUGGAGGGGCCAGGGAGGAAAGGGGGCUGUGUGGGCACCAGAGGGUGAACUGAGGUCUGAGGGUCGGGACACAGGCCGGGAACAGCAGCUGGGAGCGGAGCACGGGGGAAACGUGGAUGCGCUGAGCUCCCUACAACCGCAGUGAGCAUGUGCCCAGGAGGGCCUCACGGGGUGGGUGUGAGUCUGGCCUGCCUGGGCUCGGGGUGGGGGGUGUUUACAGACGCAUUUCAGCCCCGCAGCAGGGGCUGGGGAGGUCCCGCUCGUGACAGUCUCUGCACCAAGGCAGGAGAGAUGGAAGCCGCCCAGAGAACUGCCACUCCAUAGCCUGUGGGCAUCCAGGGGUGAGCGGCAGCGAUGGCGCCCCAUGGAGGAAACACACUGGAAAUCGUGCAGAAGAUGGGAAGAUGCAGGCUGGAGUGCGGAGAAGGACUGAGACCCUGCCUGGUAGACGGCACCGUCACAGCAGCCGUCUGCCUGCUAGGAGGAGCGUCUCCACCAGCAGCAGGCCGGCCCCUGAGGGAGACAGCAGAGAGCUGGAGUCCUGGCCAGCCAGGCGGGGAUCCUUCAGCAGGACACAGGGGACACAGCAGGCAACAGGAGCUCAGAACGCUCUCGGCGACCCUGCUGAGUAACUUGUGGACUUUGUCGUCUGGCCAGUCAUGCAGGAUCCGGCACAGGACGUACAGCUCAGCGCUGGGGAGGGGGUCCCUGAAAAAGUCACCUGGUUUAAAGACAAAACGAGAUACGUCCGUCAGGUAUGGAAGAAGCAGUCCUCCCCGGACAGAUCCUGGGACGGCCACCCGCAUCCUAAAUCAGGGACAGAGAAGAGAGGGGUGUGGGCGGGAAUGGGUCUUCCUGAAGUACAUCCCCGUGGGGACUUGAACAGAGCUCCAUGAGGAGCUGGUUAGUGAUGUCACGCCCGUGCGGUUUGACUCGGGCUGAGAAAACGCUGGGGACAGUGGCUCACACCUGUAAUCUCAGCAUUUUGGGAGCCUGAGGUGGGCAGAUUGUCUGAGCUCAGGAGUUCGAGACCAGCCUGGGCAACACGGCGAAACCCCAUCUCUACUAAAAAUGCAAAUUAGCUGGACAGGGGUGGCGGGCGCCUGUCAUCCCAGCUACGCGGGAGGCUGAGGCAGGAGAAUCGCUUGAACCUGGGAGGUGGAGGUUGCAGUGAGCCGAGAUCGCGCCAUCGCACUCCAGCCUGGGCGACAAGAAGGCAAGGGAGGAAAAAAGCAGGGAAUUCAGGGGCAGCACCUGGGCGAGGCAGGCAGAGUCGGCGCACAUGGGCGUGUGCCAGGGAGAGUCGGGGCCGCACUGCCGGUGAGUGGGCAAUGGCAGGGCCUUCUCUGGUGAUCCCCUGAUUCAGGCGCCCCAGGAGGGUUGCCUGUUGCGGGGGGCGCAUGUAGCUGCACGCCCCUCUGUAAUUGCUGAAAUAAAAAGAUGGUCUGCUGUA
This 1789-nucleotide long non-coding RNA is filed under the name Homo sapiens (human). RNAcentral describes it as "non-protein coding lnc-RPS4Y1-6:5". The record is from RNAcentral. Lineage: Eukaryota; Metazoa; Chordata; Mammalia; Primates; Hominidae.